Molecule: long non-coding RNA, 773 nt
Filed under: Dromaius novaehollandiae (emu)
Lineage: Eukaryota; Metazoa; Chordata; Aves; Casuariiformes; Dromaiidae
Description: lncRNA (ENSDNVG00000001063.1)
Source: RNAcentral
CUGUUAGACCUCGUUGAUGCAGAAACAGCGUGAUAAAUAUUUUAUGAACGGGAUCCAGUAAACACACAGCAGUAGGAUGCUGCAGUGAUUAAAGGAAGUGUUUAAAAUUAGAGACAGAUCCUAAGUCCAGUUACCAUGAAGCAGUGCUAACUCACKCUGGAACAGGAUGUUCAGCCCUCCCGGAUAGUCCUGGCAGGGAGAAGGUCUGGAGUCACCCGGAGUUUAGAGAUGGAUUUGCCCUGUCUCUCUGAACCAUACACUUCUGCUGAACAACGUUCCUCCUCUCUCCCUAUCUGAUGCCAGCUAUGAGGCCCUAAUUGCAGAGGUACUGACUGACAGGUGGAGGGCCAGGGAGACUCUGUGUGGUGCCGAAGGACGUGUCUCCCAGAAUGGACUGAACCUUGUGAUUGCYUUAGGACACCAUUUGCCAUCCAUUGAACUGUUAACAAAAACUCUAGAGAYGGGCUGGACUGAAAACAACUUGGAGCUGCUGGCACUGACAAUAUGGACAGAAAACUUUGUAACUCCAAGCUGGAGCUGAAUUUGGCUCCCAGGGUUUAAAAUUUUACUUGUACAGUUGUUAAAUUUACUUAUUCAAAGCCAUCAGACCCAUGGCAUUCAUAMAUACCUAUCCCUAUCUGCCUCCGUAUCUCUCCAAACUAUUGUUCUCAGCUAAGACUYUGUUAUCCUUUAGAAAAGCCUUUUAUAUUUGGCUUCCAUUAGGGUAAAGCUCAGCCAGACAAAUAAUAAUGCUUAAACUACUUAAAAUCUUG